CCUACGGGGGGCAGCAGUCUAGAAAUUUGCACAAUCGACGAAAGUCGGAUGCAGCGACGCCACGUGGAGGAUGAAGCCUCUAGGGGUGUAAACUCCUGUCAGGAGGGAAGAAGGCUCAUGGGUUAAUAGCCCAGGGGCUUGACGGUACCUUCAAAGGAAGCUCCGGCUAACUACGUGCCAGCAGCCGCGGU
This 191-nucleotide ribosomal RNA is filed under the name uncultured bacterium. RNAcentral describes it as "partial 16S ribosomal RNA". It matches the Rfam family "Bacterial small subunit ribosomal RNA", at positions 338 to 521 of the family's 1533-position model. The record is from RNAcentral.